AAAUUGAAGAGUUUGAUCAUGGCUCAGAUUGAACGCUGGCGGCAGGCCUAACACAUGCAAGUCGAACGGUAACAGGAAGCAGCUUGCUGCUUCGCUGACGAGUGGCGGACGGGUGAGUAAUGUCUGGGAAACUGCCUGAUGGAGGGGGAUAACUACUGGAAACGGUAGCUAAUACCGCAUAAUGUCGCAAGACCAAAGAGGGGGACCUUCGGGCCUCUUGCCAUCGGAUGUGCCCAGAUGGGAUUAGCUAGUAGGUGGGGUAACGGCUCACCUAGGCGACGAUCCCUAGCUGGUCUGAGAGGAUGACCAGCCACACUGGAACUGAGACACGGUCCAGACUCCUACGGGAGGCAGCAGUGGGGAAUAUUGCACAAUGGGCGCAAGCCUGAUGCAGCCAUGCCGCGUGUAUGAAGAAGGCCUUCGGGUUGUAAAGUACUUUCAGCGGGGAGGAAGGUGUUAAGGUUAAUAACCUCAGCAAUUGACGUUACCCGCAGAAGAAGCACCGGCUAACUCCGUGCCAGCAGCCGCGGUAAUACGGAGGGUGCAAGCGUUAAUCGGAAUUACUGGGCGUAAAGCGCACGCAGGCGGUCUGUCAAGUCGGAUGUGAAAUCCCCGGGCUCAACCUGGGAACUGCAUUCGAAACUGGCAGGCUAGAGUCUUGUAGAGGGGGGUAGAAUUCCAGGUGUAGCGGUGAAAUGCGUAGAGAUCUGGAGGAAUACCGGUGGCGAAGGCGGCCCCCUGGACAAAGACUGACGCUCAGGUGCGAAAGCGUGGGGAGCAAACAGGAUUAGAUACCCUGGUAGUCCACGCCGUAAACGAUGUCGACUUGGAGGUUGUGCCCUUGAGGCGUGGCUUCCGGAGCUAACGCGUUAAGUCGACCGCCUGGGGAGUACGGCCGCAAGGUUAAAACUCAAAUGAAUUGACGGGGGCCCGCACAAGCGGUGGAGCAUGUGGUUUAAUUCGAUGCAACGCGAAGAACCUUACCUACUCUUGACAUCCAGAGAACUUUCCAGAGAUGGAUUGGUGCCUUCGGGAACUCUGAGACAGGUGCUGCAUGGCUGUCGUCAGCUCGUGUUGUGAAAUGUUGGGUUAAGUCCCGCAACGAGCGCAACCCUUAUCCUUUGUUGCCAGCGGUCCGGCCGGGAACUCAAAGGAGACUGCCAGUGAUAAACUGGAGGAAGGUGGGGAUGACGUCAAGUCAUCAUGGCCCUUACGAGUAGGGCUACACACGUGCUACAAUGGCGCAUACAAAGAGAAGCGACCUCGCGAGAGCAAGCGGACCUCAUAAAGUGCGUCGUAGUCCGGAUUGGAGUCUGCAACUCGACUCCAUGAAGUCGGAAUCGCUAGUAAUCGUGGAUCAGAAUGCCACGGUGAAUACGUUCCCGGGCCUUGUACACACCGCCCGUCACACCAUGGGAGUGGGUUGCAAAAGAAGUAGGUAGCUUAACCUUCGGGAGGGCGCUUACCACUUUGUGAUUCAUGACUGGGGUGAAGUCGUAACAAGGUAACCGUAGGGGAACCUGCGGUUGGAUCACCUCCUUACCUUAAAGAA
RNAcentral lists this ribosomal RNA (1552 nucleotides) under Enterobacter hormaechei. RNAcentral's name for it is "bacterial SSU rRNA". It matches the Rfam family "Bacterial small subunit ribosomal RNA". Lineage: Bacteria; Pseudomonadati; Pseudomonadota; Gammaproteobacteria; Enterobacterales; Enterobacteriaceae. The record is from RNAcentral.